Molecule: ribosomal RNA, 397 nt
Filed under: uncultured bacterium
Lineage: Bacteria
Description: bacterial SSU rRNA
Rfam family: Bacterial small subunit ribosomal RNA
Source: RNAcentral
UAACGCGAAGAACCUUACCAAGGCUUGACAUAUACGAGAACGGGCUAGAAAUAGUCAACUCUUUGGACACUCGUAAACAGGUGGAGCAUGGUUGUCGUCAGCUCGUGUCGUGAGAUGUUGGGUUAAGUCCCGCAACGAGCGCAACCCUCGUUUUAUGUUGCCAGCGCGUUAUGGCGGGGACUCAUAGGAGACUGCCGGGGUCAACUCGGAGGAAGGUGGGGAUGACGUCAAAUCAUCAUGCCCCUUAUGUCUUGGGCUUCACGCAUGCUACAAUGGCCGGUACAAAGGGCUGCGAUACCGUAAGGUGGAGCGAAUCCCAAAAAGCCGGUCUCAGUUCGGAUUGAGGUCUGCAACUCGACCUCAUGAAGUCGGAGUCGCUAGUAAUCGCAGAUCAGCA